UACGAGGGGGGCAAGCGUUGUUCGGAAUUAUUGGGCGUAAAGGGUGCGUAGGCGGUUUGACAAGUCUCAUGUGAAAUCUUCGGGCUCAACCCGAAGUCUGCAUGGGAAACUGUCGGGCUUGAGUAUGGGAGAGGUGAGUGGAAUUUCCGGUGUAGCGGUGAAAUGCGUAGAUAUCGGAAGGAACACCUGUGGUGAAAGCGGCUCACUGGACCAUAACUGACACUGAGGUGCGAAAGCGUGGGUAGCAAACAGG
RNAcentral lists this ribosomal RNA (253 nucleotides) under uncultured bacterium. RNAcentral describes it as "partial 16S ribosomal RNA". It matches the Rfam family "Bacterial small subunit ribosomal RNA", at positions 524 to 776 of the family's 1533-position model. The record is from RNAcentral.